Molecule: ribosomal RNA, 497 nt
Filed under: uncultured bacterium
Lineage: Bacteria
Description: partial 16S ribosomal RNA
Rfam family: Bacterial small subunit ribosomal RNA
Source: RNAcentral
GACGAACGCUGGCGGCGUGCCUAAUACAUGCAAGUCGAACGCUGAAGCUUGGUGCUUGCACCGAGCGGAUGAGUUGCGAACGGGUGAGUAACGCGUAGGUAACCUGCCUGGUAGCGGGGGAUAACUAUUGGAAACGAUAGCUAAUACCGCAUAAGAGUAGAUGUUGCAUGACAUUUGCUUAAAAGGUGCAAUUGCAUCACUACCAGAUGGACCAGCGUUGUAUUAGCUAGUUGGUGAGGUAACUGCACACCAAGGCAACGAUACAUAGCCGACCUGAGAGGGUAAUCUGCCACACUGGGACUGAGACACGGCCCACACUCCUACGGGUGGCAGCAGUAGCGAAUCUUCGGCAAUGGACGGAAGUCUGACCGAUCAACGCCGCGUGAGUGAAGAAGGUUUUCGGAUCGUAAAGCUCUGUUGUAAGAUAAGAACGAGUGUGAGAGUUGAAAGUUCACACUGUGACGGUACCUUACCAGAAAGGGACGGCUAACUACGUG